Molecule: ribosomal RNA, 253 nt
Filed under: uncultured bacterium
Lineage: Bacteria
Description: partial 16S ribosomal RNA
Rfam family: Bacterial small subunit ribosomal RNA
Source: RNAcentral
GACGAAGGAUUCAAGCGUUAUCCGGAUUCAUUGGGUUUAAAGGGAGCGUAGGUGGCCUUAUAAGUCAGUGGUGAAAUCUCUCGGCUUAACCGAGAAAUUGCCAUUGAUACUGUAGGGCUUGAGUACAGUUGCUGUGGGCGGAAUAUGACAUGUAGUGGUGAAAUACAUAGAGAUGUCAUAGAACACCGAUUGCGAAGGCAGCUCACAAAACUGUAACUGACACUGAGGCUCGAAAGUGCGGGGAUCAAACAGG